This 777-nucleotide ribosomal RNA is filed under the name uncultured Providencia sp. Its description in RNAcentral is "bacterial SSU rRNA". It matches the Rfam family "Bacterial small subunit ribosomal RNA", at positions 723 to 1502 of the family's 1533-position model. The record is from RNAcentral. Lineage: Bacteria; Pseudomonadati; Pseudomonadota; Gammaproteobacteria; Enterobacterales; Morganellaceae.
CGCCCCCUGGACAAGACUGACGCUCAGGUGCGAAAGCGUGGGGAGCAAACAGGAUUAGAUACCUGGUAGUCACGCUGUAAACGAUGUCGAUUUGGAGGUUGUUCCCUUGAGGAGUGGCCUCCGGAGCUAACGCGUUAAAUCGACCGCCUGGGGAGUACGGCCGCAAGGUUAAAACUCAAAUGAAUUGACGGGGGCCCGCACAAGCGGUGGAGCAUGUGGUUUAAUUCGAUGCAACGCGAAGAACCUUACCUACUCUUGACAUCCAGAGAAUUUAGCAGAGAUGCUUUAGUGCCUUCGGGAACUCUGAGACAGGUGCUGCAUGGCUGUCGUCAGCUCGUGUUGUGAAAUGUUGGGUUAAGUCCCGCAACGAGCGCAACCCUUAUCCUUUGUUGCCAGCACAUUAUGGUGGGAACUCAAAGGAGACUGCCGGUGAUAAACCGGAGGAAGGUGGGGAUGACGUCAAGUCAUCAUGGCCCUUACGAGUAGGGCUACACACGUGCUACAAUGGCGUAUACAAAGAGAAGCGACCUCGCGAGAGCAAGCGGAACUCAUAAAGUACGUCGUAGUCCGGAUUGGAGUCUGCAACUCGACUCCAUGAAGUCGGAAUCGCUAGUAAUCGUAGAUCAGAAUGCUACGGUGAAUACGUUCCCGGGCCUUGUACACACCGCCCGUCACACCAUGGGAGUGGGUUGCAAAAGAAGUAGGUAGCUUAACCUUCGGGAGGGCGCUUACCACUUUGUGAUUCAUGACUGGGGUGAAGUCGUAACAAGGUAACCA